RNAcentral lists this ribosomal RNA (917 nucleotides) under Phaeoisaria clematidis. RNAcentral describes it as "LSU rRNA". It matches the Rfam family "Eukaryotic large subunit ribosomal RNA", at positions 114 to 1061 of the family's 3401-position model. Lineage: Eukaryota; Fungi; Ascomycota; Sordariomycetes; Pleurotheciales; Pleurotheciaceae. The record is from RNAcentral.
UUUGAAAUCUGACCUUCGGGUCCGAGUUGUAAUCUGCAGAUGAGUCUUCCGGCAGAGCGCCGUCCAAGUGCCCUGGAACGGGUCGCCGGAGAGGGUGAGAGCCCCGUACCGACGCGCGCCGAGCCUCUGUGAAGCUCAUUCGAAGAGUCGAGUAGUUUGGAAAUGCUGCUCUAAUUGUGGGGUAAAUCUCCCAUAAGGCUAAAUACCGGCCAGAGACCGAUAGCGCACAAGUAGCGUGAGCGAAAGAUGAAAAGAGCCUUGAACAAGGGCGUCAAAAAGCAUGUGAAAUUGUUGUGGGGGAAGCGUUCGAUGCCAGACAUGGCGGCGGUUGGUUACCCGGCGUUCUUCGCCGGCGCACUCUGCCGUCGCCAGGCCAGCAUCAGUUCGGAUCGAGGCCUACUGCCAGUGGGAACGUGGCUCCUCCGGGAGUGUUAUAGCCCAUUGGUAACGUCUCGGACCGGACUGAGGACCGCGCUUCGGCUCGGAUGCUGGCGUAAUGGCCUCUAGCGACCCGUCUUGAAACACGGACCAAGGAGUUGACCUAGCGUGCGAGUGUUUGGGUGUCAAGCCCUUACGCGCAGUGAAAGCGAAUGCAGGUGGGAGCUUCGGCGCACCAUCGACCGAUCCUGAAGUUUACGGAUGGAUUUGAGUAAGAGCACGUUGGGUCUGACCCGAAAGAAGGUGAACUAUGCAUGAAUAGGGUGAAGCCAGAGGAAACUCUGGUGGAGGCUCGCAGCGGUUCUGACGUGCAAAUCGAUCGUCAAAUUUGUGCAUGGGGGCGAAAGACCAAUCGAACCUUCUAGUAGCUGGUUCCUGCCGAAGUUUCCCUCAGGAUAGCAGAGUUGAUCCUCAGUUUCAUGAGGUAAAGCGAAUGAUUAGAGACUCGGGGGCGCUAUAUUGCCUUCAUCUAUUCUCAA